Eptesicus fuscus (big brown bat) is the source of this 268-nucleotide long non-coding RNA. RefSeq lists it as uncharacterized. Lineage: Eukaryota; Metazoa; Chordata; Mammalia; Chiroptera; Vespertilionidae. The record is from RefSeq and is a predicted model, not a curated record. The transcript is spliced from 2 exons.
UCCUGGAGCGGAGGCACAGCAACACCUAAGCCCCCGGGACCAGCCUGGCCAGGACACCACCGCCUGCGCGCCCCAGCCCCUCCUGUUCCCCUGGCCCAGUUCCCUCAAGUCAAGGCCUUCCCCGCGUGCUCAGCCCUUGGUCCGUGGUGGGGCUGACCAAAGACCCCCUUCCCACACCUGAACGCACGGAGCAGAGCCAGCAGAGCCAGCAGGAGUCCGGCUGUGCUGAGGAAUGUGAAGUAAAUUCACCCAUUUUUAUUUUUCCCAG